RNAcentral lists this ribosomal RNA (492 nucleotides) under uncultured bacterium. RNAcentral's name for it is "partial 16S ribosomal RNA". It matches the Rfam family "Bacterial small subunit ribosomal RNA", at positions 29 to 507 of the family's 1533-position model. The record is from RNAcentral.
AGUGAACGCUGGCGGUAGGCCUAACACAUGCAAGUCGAACGGCAGCACAGUAAGAGCUUGCUCUUACGGGUGGCGAGUGGCGGACGGGUGAGGAAUACAUCGGAAUCUACUUUUUCGUGGGGGAUAACGUAGGGAAACUUACGCUAAUACCGCAUACGACCUACGGGUGAAAGCAGGAGAUCUUCGGACCUUGCGCGAUUGAAUGAGCCGGUGUCGGAUUAGCUAGUUGGCGGGGUAAAGGCCCACCAAGGCGACGAUCCGUAGCUGGUCUGAGAGGAUGAUCAGCCACACUGGAACUGAGACACGGUCCAGACUCCUACGGGAGGCAGCAGUGGGGAAUAUUGGACAAUGGGCGAAAGCCUGAUCCAGCCAUACCGCGUGGGUGAAGAAGGCCUUCGGGUUGUAAAGCCCUGUUGUUGGGAAAGAAAAGCAGCAGGUUAAUACCCCGCUGUUCUGACGGUACCCAAAGAAUAAGCACCGGCUAACUUCGUG